GUUAGUGGGCUGCCCUACAGUAUUGGGCCUAAAGACCGGCCCAUAGUAUAUAAGCCUUAGGUCUGCCCUAAACCUAGGGUACCCUACAUUUUCAGGGAUCUUGCCUUGCCUUGAACCCAGCAGCCGCCACCCCUCUGCUAGGAUUCCGAUUCUUCGUCUCGAACCAGUCCAUCCCAAGAGCUCGUCUAGUGAUUUCUGCUCCACUUUUGCAAGUCCGCCUUCCAAGUUACUGUGCUCCGAGGUCCCGUGUCGAGGUUCUGUUAACCCUUUUCCAGAUGGGCGAGGUUCACGUGGCCAGCAAGGGAACGAUGAUCCAACAGCUUAGUCACCUGGGCUAGAUCUCGCGCUUCUUUCUUUCAUGUUUUCUUUAGGGCUAUGGCCCCUGUAUUCGUGGUUGUCGGAUUGUAAUCUUUUAGUUAAACAACUAUCCCACCUUCAUUGGCAUCGUGGUAUGCCUAGUUUUGUAGGAGUGAUAUUAAGGACCCCAGGACCGCGUUGUUAUGCUUUUAUCACGUGACGUUUUCUUUAAUUUUACGUA
Long non-coding RNA from Vigna unguiculata (cowpea), 538 nucleotides. The record is from RefSeq and is a predicted model, not a curated record. Lineage: Eukaryota; Viridiplantae; Streptophyta; Magnoliopsida; Fabales; Fabaceae.